UACGUAGGGAGCAAGCGUUGUCCGGAUUUAUUGGGCGUAAAGAGCUCGUAGGCGGUUCUGUAAGUCGGGUGUGAAAACUCCAGGCUCAACCUGGAGAUGCCACUCGAUACUGCGGUGACUUGAGUCUGGUAGGGGAGAUUGGAAUUCCUGGUGUAGCGGUGGAAUGCGCAGAUAUCAGGAGGAACACCAAUGGCGAAGGCAGAUCUCUGGGCCGAUACUGACGCUGAGGAGCGAAAGCGUGGGGAGCGAACAGG
RNAcentral lists this ribosomal RNA (254 nucleotides) under uncultured bacterium. RNAcentral's name for it is "partial 16S ribosomal RNA". It matches the Rfam family "Bacterial small subunit ribosomal RNA", at positions 524 to 776 of the family's 1533-position model. The record is from RNAcentral.